GACGAACGCUGGCGGCGUGCCUAAUACAUGCAAGUUGAGCGCUGAAGGUUGGUACUUGUACCAACUGGAUGAGCAGCGAACGGGUGAGUAACGCGUGGGGAAUCUGCCUUUGAGCGGGGGACAACAUUUGGAAACGAAUGCUAAUACCGCAUAAAAACUUUAAACACAAGUUUUAAGUUUGAAAGAUGCAAUUGCAUCACUCAAAGAUGAUCCCGCGUUGUAUUAGCUAGUUGGUGAGGUAAAGGCUCACCAAGGCGAUGAUACGUAGCCGACCUGAGAGGGUGAUCGGCCACAUUGGGACUGAGACACGGCCCAAACUCCUACGGGAGGUAGCAGUAGGGAAUCUUCGGCAAUGGACGAAAGUCUGACCGAGCAACGCCGCGUGAGUGAAGAAGGUUUUCGGAUCGUAAAACUCUGUUGGUAGAGAAGAACGUUGGUGAGAGUGGAAAGCUCAUCAAGUGACGGUAACUACCCAGAAAGGGACGGCUAACUACGUG
This 497-nucleotide ribosomal RNA is filed under the name uncultured bacterium. RNAcentral describes it as "partial 16S ribosomal RNA". It matches the Rfam family "Bacterial small subunit ribosomal RNA", at positions 28 to 507 of the family's 1533-position model. The record is from RNAcentral.